This 427-nucleotide ribosomal RNA is filed under the name uncultured bacterium. RNAcentral describes it as "bacterial SSU rRNA". It matches the Rfam family "Bacterial small subunit ribosomal RNA", at positions 355 to 774 of the family's 1533-position model. The record is from RNAcentral.
UAGGGAAUAUUGGACAAUGGGGGCAACCCUGAUCCAGCCAUGCCGCGUGAGUGAAGAAGGCCCUCGGGUUGUAAAGCUCUUUUGUCCGGAAAGAAAAGCAUUCGGUGAAUACCCGGAUGUUCUGACGGUACCGGAAGAAUAAGCACCGGCUAACUUCGUGCCAGCAGCCGCGGUAAUACGAAGGGUGCAAGCGUUACUCGGAAUUACUGGGCGUAAAGCGUGCGUAGGUGGUUGUUUAAGUCUGAUGUGAAAGCCCUGGGCUCAACCUGGGAAUGGCAUUGGAAACUGGGCAGCUAGAGUGCGGUAGAGGGUAGUGGAAUUCCAGGUGUAGCAGUGAAAUGCGUAGAGAUCGGGAGGAACAUCUGUGGCGAAGGCGACUGCCUGGACCAGCACUGACACUGAGGCACGAAAGCGUGGGGAGCAAACA